Molecule: ribosomal RNA, 691 nt
Filed under: bacterium SL3.34
Lineage: Bacteria
Description: bacterial SSU rRNA
Rfam family: Bacterial small subunit ribosomal RNA
Source: RNAcentral
UGCAGUCGAGCGGCAGUUGAGUAGCAAUACUUGACCUAGAGCGGCGCACGGGUGCGUUACGCGUAUGCAACCUACCUUAUACUGGGGGAUAGCCCGUAGAAAUGCGGAUUAAUACCCCAUGGUAUUGAGUGAUGGCAUCGUCAUUCAAUUAAAGAUUUAUCGGUAUGAGAUGGGCAUGCGUAGGAUUAGCUAGUUGGUAAGGUAACGGCUUACCAAGGCUACGAUCCUUAGGGGUUCUGAGAGGAAGGUCCCCCACACUGGCACUGAGAUACGGGCCAGACUCCUACGGGAGGCAGCAGUAGGGAAUAUUGGGCAAUGGUCGGAAGACUGACCCAGCCAUGCCGCGUGCAGGAAGACGGCCCUCUGGGUUGUAAACUGCUUUUAUCAGGGAAGAAAAGGGCCAUGCGUGGCAAAUUGCCGGUACCUGAUGAAUAAGCACCGGCUAACUCCGUGCCAGCAGCCGCGGUAAUACGGAGGGUGCGAGCGUUGUCCGGAUUUAUUGGGUUUAAAGGGUGCGUAGGCGGCUGCUUAAGUCAGUGGUAAAAGGCACGGGCUCAACCCGAUGUAAGCCAUUGAUACUGGGCAGCUUGAGUUUUCUGAGAGUACAUGGAAUUGAUGGUGUAGCGGUGAAAUGCAUAGAUACCAUCAGGAACACCGAUAGCGAAGGCAUUGUACUUUGGAGCGACUGACG